RNAcentral lists this ribosomal RNA (465 nucleotides) under Vreelandella stevensii. RNAcentral describes it as "partial 16S ribosomal RNA". It matches the Rfam family "Bacterial small subunit ribosomal RNA", at positions 338 to 795 of the family's 1533-position model. The record is from RNAcentral. Lineage: Bacteria; Pseudomonadati; Pseudomonadota; Gammaproteobacteria; Oceanospirillales; Halomonadaceae.
CCUACGGGUGGCAGCAGUGGGGAAUAUUGGACAAUGGGGGGAACCCUGAUCCAGCCAUGCCGCGUGUGUGAAGAAGGCCCUCGGGUUGUAAAGCACUUUCAGUGAGGAAGAACGCCUGGUGGUUAAUACCCAUCAGGAAAGACAUCACUCACAGAAGAAGCACCGGCUAACUCCGUGCCAGCAGCCGCGGUAAUACGGAGGGUGCGAGCGUUAAUCGGAAUUACUGGGCGUAAAGCGCGCGUAGGUGGCUUGAUAAGCCGGUUGUGAAAGCCCCGGGCUCAACCUGGGAACGGCAUCCGGAACUGUCAAGCUAGAGUGCAGGAGAGGAAGGUAGAAUUCCAGGUGUAGCGGUGAAAUGCGUAGAGAUCGGGAGGAAUACCAGUGGCGAAGGCGGCCUUCUGGACUGACACUGACACUGAGGUGCGAAAGCGUGGGUAGCAAACAGGAUUAGAUACCCUAGUAGUC